GCCCAGCUAGCUCAGUUGGUAGAGCAUGAGACUCUUAAUCUCAGGGUUGUGGGUUCGAUCCCCACGUUGGGCG
Non-coding RNA from Equus caballus (horse), 73 nucleotides. The record is from Rfam. Lineage: Eukaryota; Metazoa; Chordata; Mammalia; Perissodactyla; Equidae.